This 253-nucleotide ribosomal RNA is filed under the name uncultured bacterium. RNAcentral describes it as "partial 16S ribosomal RNA". It matches the Rfam family "Bacterial small subunit ribosomal RNA", at positions 524 to 776 of the family's 1533-position model. The record is from RNAcentral.
UACGGAGGAUGCAAGCGUUAUCCGGAAUGAUUGGGCGUAAAGCGUCCGCAGGUGGCAAUGUAAGUCUGCUGUCAAAGCGUCUGGCUCAACCAGAUAAAGGCAGUGGAAACUACAUAGCUAGAGUAAGGUAGGGGUAGAGGGAAUUCCUGGUGUAGCGGUGAAAUGCGUAGAGAUCAGGAAGAACACCGGUGGCGAAGGCGGUUCUCUGGGACGGUACUGACGCUGAGACGCGAAAGCGUGGGGAGCGAACAGG